GACCGGAUAUUGCAGUGGAUUAGCACGUCUGACUUCGGAUCAGAAGGGCGUGGGUUCGACUCCCUCAGUGGUCG
This 74-nucleotide transfer RNA is filed under the name Brassica carinata (Ethiopian mustard). It matches the Rfam family "tRNA". Rfam says of the family: Transfer RNA (tRNA) molecules are approximately 80 nucleotides in length. Their secondary structure includes four short double-helical elements and three loops (D, anti-codon, and T loops). Lineage: Eukaryota; Viridiplantae; Streptophyta; Magnoliopsida; Brassicales; Brassicaceae. The record is from Rfam by way of RNAcentral. RNAcentral also lists the same sequence under 1 other name.